AGUGAACGCUGGCGGUAGGCCUAACACAUGCAAGUCGAACGGCAGCACAGUAAGAGCUUGCUCUUACGGGUGGCGAGUGGCGGACGGGUGAGGAAUACAUCGGAAUCUACUUUUUCGUGGGGGAUAACGUAGGGAAACUUACGCUAAUACCGCAUACGACCUACGGGCGAAAGCAGGGGAUCUUCGGACCUUGCGCGAUUGAAUGAGCCGAUGUCGGAUUAGCUAGUUGGCGGGGUAAAGGCCCACCAAGGCGACGAUCCGUAGCUGGUCUGAGAGGAUGAUCAGCCACACUGGAACUGAGACACGGUCCAGACUCCUACGGGAGACAGCAGUGGGGAAUAUUGGACAAUGGGCGCAAGCCUGAUCCAGCCAUACCGCGUGGGUGAAGAAGGCCUUCGGGUUGUAAAGCCCUUUUGUUGGGAAAGAAAAGCAGCAGGUUAAUACCCCGCUGUUCUGACGGUACCCAAAGAAUAAGCACCGGCUAACUUCGUG
This 492-nucleotide ribosomal RNA is filed under the name uncultured bacterium. RNAcentral's name for it is "partial 16S ribosomal RNA". It matches the Rfam family "Bacterial small subunit ribosomal RNA", at positions 29 to 507 of the family's 1533-position model. The record is from RNAcentral.